Molecule: ribosomal RNA, 305 nt
Filed under: uncultured bacterium
Lineage: Bacteria
Description: partial 16S ribosomal RNA
Rfam family: Bacterial small subunit ribosomal RNA
Source: RNAcentral
UGCCUACGGGACGCAGCAGUGGGGAAUAUUGCACAAUGGGGGGAACCCUGAUGCAGCGACGCCGCGUGAGUGAAGAAGUAUUUCGGUACGUAAAGCUCUAUCAGCAGGGAAGAAAAAAGGACGGUACCUGAGUAAGAAGCCCCGGCUAACUACGUGCCAGCAGCCGCGGUAAUACGUAGGGGGCAAGCGUUAUCCGGAAUUACUGGGUGUAAAGGGAGCGUAGACGGCAGUGCAAGUCUGGAGUGAAAGGCGGGGGCUCAACCCCCGGACUGCUCUGGAAACUGUACGGCUGGAGGGCAGGAGAG